Salvia splendens (bonfire salvia) is the source of this 690-nucleotide long non-coding RNA. RefSeq lists it as uncharacterized. The transcript has 2 exons. Lineage: Eukaryota; Viridiplantae; Streptophyta; Magnoliopsida; Lamiales; Lamiaceae. The record is from RefSeq and is a predicted model, not a curated record.
CAACCUUGAGUCCUUGGCUGAGUGGGGCAUGAACAUUUUUUUUUCGGAAAAGUCUUUCCUGUCAACCCUCUUGCCUCAUUGGAAGAGAAGACAGUGGAUGUUGAUGUUUCUUUCAUCAUGUGUGCUUGCAUUUAUAUCUCUGUGUAUUGUUUUCAUGCUUUUUAGGCUGAAUUCCUCUGGUUGUUGGACAUGAACAUGUGCCUCUGGUAAACAAAAUUCGACCGUUCCUCCGGUUACUUUUACUGGAUUUGAUAGCUAAAUGCUUGAAGUGAGCCUACCAGAACUUGUUUUGAAAGCUGAAGAGGCGAAUCUGCUCAUAUCUGUUGCAAUCGUGUGGAUCAAUGCAGAGAUCCUAACAAUGAGCUGCACAUUCAAGAAGUCGAAGCAAGCUAGCUGCUGCACUGAUGGCUCUGCCCUCAAUGGGCCCUCCAGCAUUCACUGCGCAAUGAUCGCUUCAUUUGUAGCUCUGAUUGAGGUUUUAAACACUUACUCACUUCCCUACAAAGCUACACACAUUCAUGCAUUUUUUGCGUGUCUUUGUUCAUGUAAAAAGGCUGUUGAUCUGUUUCAUCUGAUGUGUGUGACUGAUUAGAUUGCAAAUACAUUUUACUAGAAUUUUACGUGAGGAAAUUAGGCUUAGAUUAUGAGUUUGAAGUUUUUGCAAUAAACAAACUUAUAAUCCUUGAUUUA